Molecule: ribosomal RNA, 804 nt
Filed under: uncultured bacterium
Lineage: Bacteria
Description: bacterial SSU rRNA
Rfam family: Bacterial small subunit ribosomal RNA
Source: RNAcentral
GCGCCUAACACAUGCAAGUCGAGCGAGAAAUUUUCUAGCUUGCUAGAAAAUGGAAAGCGGCGAACGGGUGAGGAAUAUGUUGACAUCUGCCCCCAAGUCAGGGAUAGCCCAGGGAAACCUGGAUUAAUACCGGAUAGUCUCUACGGAGUAAAAAUUUAUUGCUUGGGGAGGAGUCUUCAUUCUAUCAGCUUGUUGGUGAGGUAAUAGCUCACCAAGGCUAUGACGGAUAACUGGUCUGAGAGGAUGAUCAGUCACAAUGGAACUGAGACACGGUCCAUACUCCUACGGGAGGCAGCAGUGAGGAAUCUUCCACAAUGGACGAAAGUCUGAUGGAGCGACACCGCGUGAAGGAUGAAGGUCUAACGAUUGUAAACUUCUUUUCUGAAGGAGCAUAAUGAGAGUACUUCAGGAAUAAGGGACGGCUAAAUACGUGCCAGCAGCCGCGGUAAUACGUAUGUCCCAAGCGUUACCCGGAAUCACUGGGUGUAAAGGGUUCGUAGGUGGGGAAAUAAGUUGGAUAUGAAAGACCGAAGCUCAACUUCGUGUUUGUCUCCAAAACUGUUUUCCUAGAAUCAGGGAGAGGUAAGCGGAAUUCUAAGUGUAGGGGUGCAAUCCGUAGAUACUUAGAAGAACACCAAAAGCGAAGGCAGCUUACUGGAACUGUAUUGACACUGAGGAACGAAAGCGUGGGUAGCGAAAAGGAUUAGAUACCCUUGUAGUCCACGCCCUAAACGAUGAUAACUAAGUGUUGGGCAUUUGCUCAGUGCUGAAGCUAACGCGUUAAGUUAUCCACCUGAGGAGUAC